GUCGGCCAGGCCCGGCGGGAGAGGAGCAGCUGUCCCCUGCUGAAGGGCUUCAAGGAAGGACCCUCUACUUGUCCUGGACAAUUUCCAGUGGAAGGGGAUCCUUCCCAACUAGCAGAAACCUCUCUCCAAGAAGUGGACGACAGUUGGGCCAGCCUCGUAACAGCACAAAACUAUAUGCAUUUAUUCACCAGCCAUGAGAAAAAUCAGCUCAAGGAGGCAAAGAUCCUGUUUCCACUCUAACCCCUCAUCAGAGUGACAUAGAAGCAAGUGAUGCUAGAGCCUUUCAGAAGUCCGAGAUUUUCCUCCCUCAUGCCCUCCAUUAUGGAUAAAGAAACUGAGACCAAGUCUGGGACCAGCUCCCCAGUGUCUGCCAGAGUGCCUGACUCCUGGGAGAAAUGUUGACAAAAACAUGGACAAAUAUGUUGAUAAAGGAGUAAAACUAGUAGAAGGAGAUGAGAGAGAUGCCUUUCCAUGGUCAUUUCCCCCAGAGAUGGUGGCGUCUCCACGAGCACACAGUCCCUGCUCCUGAUCAGAUUUCACGUUGUUAAUGGGGCAAGACCAUUGCAAGUUCUAGUUUGUGGUCUGACCAACAUGAGGUAGGCUUCUGUCCUCUUUGGGACAGCGCUGAAACUUGUGUCCUUUGAAUUCUGCCCCGGGUCAGUCUGGCCCAUCUUCUCUGCCCUGAUCACUGCCUGAUGAAGGACACUGGAGAUGAUUAGCUGGCUUGCAUGUACGGUGUCACCACAUCCAUCUAGAGGGCAGCCUUGUUGAGCCCCACCCAGCAAACAAGCCUAAGUGAGAACCACCCCCCCAUCCUCCCCAACCCACACUUUCAUAGAAUUCUUUCACCCUGAGCCACAAUCUUGAAUUACCCAAAAUACUUUAAAAAUGUUCCUACCUGGGUCCCUGCCCUAAGGGAUUCUGAUUUAAUUGCUCUGGAGCACAGCCCGGGCAUCAGGAAUUUCAGAAGUUCUCCAGAUGUUUCUAAUGUGAGGCCAAGCCCAAUAACCUCUGCAUCAGCUCCACUGUCUCCCCAUCACCUGAUACCGUCCUUGGCAUUCGAGGAAUGUUUGUUGAAUGAAUAAAGGCAGGAAUGAUGAGGGAAUGGAUGAAUGCAGGGCUUCCUACCCAACAUGGAGCCGGAGAAUAAGCUAGGAAUGUUUUGCAAAACACAUGAGCCCAGUCCCAGCACCCCUUCCACUCUCCAUGUCCCUCCAUCUCCAUCCUUCACUAACUCAGAUUCAGUUUGCCUGCCUAUCAUUUGGGUUCGUGUGCUUUGCAAAAACUCUACAGGUGAUGCCAAAGAUGCGGCUUUGAUUAAGAAGACGAGUGAGUGAAUGAAUCAGUGAAUGAGUGUGUGAGACAGCUGAGCUAAUGGAGAGUUUUUGUUGGGACCAAGAAACUGAAGAAGCAAAGACAGAGGCGCUUUCUCUCUGGGUUUAGGAAAUUGGUGGGUAUCAUCUUCUGCUAGUCUCGUCUCCUUUCACUUGAGUGGCAAAAUAAACAGCACUUGCUGGGGAAGCAGGAGGUAGCGGUUGCCUCCUUCCUGUGUCUCCUCUCCUCUUGCUAAGAGAAGCCAACAAUUGCCGGGGAACAGGAGCCUAGACUCCUCAGAUUCCAAUUUGCAGGUUGCUACGGUUGCUCCCUUAUUGUUAGCACACACAUCAGAUUGGAAAUUGAGGUCACGGUAAGGAGGGGGAAAUGGCGGGGUGGAGGGGGGAGAGUGAGCCGACUGGGAAUUUGGCCAUAAAUCCCCUGGUGCUCAGCUCCACUCAGCAGGACUCUGGAGCCUGAGGAGUUCUCGAAGGUGUUUAACCUGGGGUCACUGGGGAUGCUGGGGAGUGACAGAGGAAGCCAGGGAUGACGGAGAGGAAAGAGACCCAGCAAGUGAGCCCCUGCAGGUAGCGGGAAGUCACCUCUUCCGUCUCAUCAUCUGCCCCCCUGGGCCUGCAGGGGACAGGCAGUGAUACCGUCCCUCUGCCUAGGGACUGCAGACCGCCAACAGGUGGGCUUGUAGUGAUUUAGAAGAACGAGCAGAAGAGGGAUCCCUGGGUGGCUCAGCGGUUUGGUGCCUGCCUUCGGCCCGGGGUGUGAUCCUGGAGUCCCGGGAUCGAGUCCUGCGUCGGG
This is a long non-coding RNA of Canis lupus familiaris (dog), 2127 nucleotides long. RefSeq lists it as uncharacterized. Lineage: Eukaryota; Metazoa; Chordata; Mammalia; Carnivora; Canidae. The record is from RefSeq and is a predicted model, not a curated record. The transcript is spliced from 3 exons.